This 497-nucleotide ribosomal RNA is filed under the name uncultured bacterium. RNAcentral's name for it is "partial 16S ribosomal RNA". It matches the Rfam family "Bacterial small subunit ribosomal RNA", at positions 28 to 507 of the family's 1533-position model. The record is from RNAcentral.
GAUGAACGCUGGCGGCGUGCCUAAUACAUGCAAGUCGAGCGAACGGACGAGAAGCUUGCUUCUCUGAUGUUAGCGGCGGACGGGUGAGUAACACGUGUAUAACCUACCUAUAAGACUGGGAUAACUUCGGGAAACCGUAGCUAAUACCGGAUAAUAUUUUGAACCUCAUGGUUCAAAAGUGAAAGACGGUCUUGCUGUCACUUAUAGAUGGAUCCGCGCUGCAUUAGCUAGUUGGUAAGGUAACGGCUUACCAAGGCAACGAUGCAUAGCCGACCUGAGAGGGUGAUCGGCCACACGGGAACUGAGACACGGUACAGACUCCUACGGGAGGCAGCAGUAGGGAAUCUUCCGCAAUGGGCGAAAGCCUGACGGAGCAAAGCCGCGUGAGUGAUGAAGGUCUUCGGAUCGUAAAACUCUGUUAUUAGGGAAGAACAUAUGUGUAAGUAACUGUGCACAUCUUGACGGUACCUAAUCAGAAAGCCACGGCUAACUCCGUG